ACGUUUAGUUAGAAAAACUUAAGCUUCAUCAAUACGCCAAGUAAUGCGUAAACUAUUUUCUGAUGAAUUAUUAAAAUACUAAAGUUACAUUGGUCAAAAAAAAAAGAAAAUAUUCUCGACAUUGUCAUCUUGUACAAUUAUUUUUGAAACCAUAAGAAAAUGUACAGAUUUUCAAAAUGCUUUAAAUACUGAAAUAGAAGAACCUAUUAAAAUAUACAUCGCUGGAGCAGCAUUUAAAAAAAAAAAAUAAUCUUAUUUAAUUAAUUUGUUGUUAAUUUCUUUAUUAUUAUAAAUAAAAGUAAUUUUUAUAAUACUAAUAUUAAAAUAUAUGUAAAUAUAUGUAUCUUGUACCUGUUAUUUGGGUGUUGAGCAAAAUAUUGAAGGAACAAUAAAUACCCAACCUAUAUAUGUUUUGUACAUAUAUAGAUAAGGUUUUUUUUACUGUAUUAAAAAAUUAAACAAAGAAUAUCUAUACAAAUGUAAA
Molecule: long non-coding RNA, 484 nt
Organism: Sipha flava (yellow sugarcane aphid)
Lineage: Eukaryota; Metazoa; Arthropoda; Insecta; Hemiptera; Aphididae
Exons: 2
Source: RefSeq, a predicted model, not a curated record